UAUGGGAAGUACCUNAGUGGCGAACGGGUGAGUAACACGUGAGCAACCAACCCCAAAGUCAGGGAUAACACCGGGAAACCGAUGCUAAUACCAGAUACCUUCUCGGACUCACCUGAGACCGAGAAGAAAGAUUUAUCGCUUUGGGACGGGCUCGCGGCCUAUCAGCUAGUUGGUGAGGUAACGGCUCACCAAGGCGUCGACGGGUAGCUGGUCUGAGAGGACGAUCAGCCACACUGGGACUGAGACACGGCCCAGACUCCUACGGGAGGCAGCAGUGGGGAAUAUUGCGCAAUGGGCGAAAGCCUGACGCAGCAACGCCGCGUGGAGGAUGAAGGCUCUUGGGUUGUAAACUCCUUUCAGCAGGGAAGAAAUUGACGGUACCUGCAGAAGAAGCCCCGGCCAACUACGUG
This 410-nucleotide ribosomal RNA is filed under the name uncultured bacterium. RNAcentral's name for it is "bacterial SSU rRNA". It matches the Rfam family "Bacterial small subunit ribosomal RNA", at positions 79 to 507 of the family's 1533-position model. The record is from RNAcentral.